Molecule: ribosomal RNA, 254 nt
Filed under: uncultured bacterium
Lineage: Bacteria
Description: partial 16S ribosomal RNA
Rfam family: Archaeal small subunit ribosomal RNA
Source: RNAcentral
CACCGGCGCCACAAGUGGUCAUCACGAUUAUUGGGCCUAAAGCGUCCGUAGCUGGUGCGGUGCAUCCCUUGUGAAAUCGUUCGGCUUAACCGAACGGCGUGCAGGGGACACGGCCGCGCUCGAGACCGGGAGGGGUCAGAAGUAUUCCAUGGGGACCGGUAAAAUGGGAUAAUCCAUGGAGGACUACCGAUGGCGAAGGCAUCUGACCAGAACGGAUCUGACAGUGAGGGACGAAAGCCAGGGGAGCGAACCGG